GCGCCUUGGGCGAGGGAGAUGAGCUCCUCAGCUGCAGGAAAGAGGGAGGCUGCUGGGCUGGAGGCAGCAGGGACGCUCUGCUCCCUGCCAGCUGCCAGCCCCGCUGGCCCCCCGGGAAAACGCCAGGAAUAAAUCUUGCCUGGUGAAGUCGGCAGCUUGGUUUGGUUUGGUUUAGUUUGGUUUGGUUUGGUUUGGUUUGGUCUGGUCUGGUCUGGAUGUGCCCAGCAGAAGCAGGGGCACGAGCACCCUGUGGAGCACCAGAUGAGUGGCACAGGGAGUGAGGAUGGCAUUGGGAGAGGGGUGACAGAAGGGCAGGGUGGCAUGGAGUGUGGUGACAACAAAACAGGGGGACAGGGAGUGUAGGGUCACAGGGGAACAGGGUGGCAGGGUGACAGUGGAUCAGGGUGGCAGGGAACAGGAUGAAGGGGGAGCAGGAGAACAGGGUGCCAUGGGAGAGGGGUAGCAGAGAACAGGGCGACAGGGAGCUAGGAUGGCAGUGGAGCAGGGUGACAGAGGAGCAAGGUGACAGGGGAGCAGAGUGACAGAGGAGCAAGGAGGCAGUGAAACGGGAUGGAAGGGUGACAAGAGAGCAGGGUGGCAGGAGAGUGAGCUGGGUUGGGGUGGCUGAGGAGGGACAAUAACUGCUGGGAGGGAGGUGCUAGGCGGGAGCUGUGUGAGAACCAGUUUGCGAGGUCCAGAUUGGCAGCAGAUCCUGAACCAGGAGGAGCUGAGCAUCCAUACGGCCCCUGCCGAGAUCAGACGCGACGACAGCGACUCGGUUUACUGACCCAUUUCCAUUCACACGGCUGCCAGUAUCUUAGCAACUGCAACAGUCCCCCAAGAACAGGCAUAUUGCCUGCUAUUAGUGACUGCUGCAACUGUGUCAAGGUUAGCUCUCUCCCUCCAAGCCCUGCCGGGUUUGUUUUUUGCCCAGAGCCAGCGCAGUCUGUUCGGUGACAUGUCCCCCGGCAGCCAUCCUGGGUGCUGGGUGCUCAUCUCUGNGCACAGGGGGUCAGGGAGCAGCAGCCGGGCCAGGGGAGAGGCUGGAGGGGCUUUGUGUGGGCU
This 1065-nucleotide long non-coding RNA is filed under the name Zonotrichia albicollis (white-throated sparrow). RNAcentral's name for it is "lncRNA (ENSZALG00000004892.1)". The record is from RNAcentral. Lineage: Eukaryota; Metazoa; Chordata; Aves; Passeriformes; Passerellidae.